Non-coding RNA from Pocillopora verrucosa, 442 nucleotides. The record is from RefSeq and is a predicted model, not a curated record. Lineage: Eukaryota; Metazoa; Cnidaria; Anthozoa; Scleractinia; Pocilloporidae.
CUUAAGGAUUAUCAGGCAUGUUUUCUGUGCUAAAUGAUGUGUCAAAAUAAUUUUUAUUUCCAGCAGACAACUAUCUAAAAAGGCAACAGGAUCUGAGUUUCUGAAUACAGGAAUAACUUUUUGCAGCAUGGGGGGAAAAACAGCAUAGUGAUUGUUUAAGUGACAGGAAAAAAACUGACUGAGUGGCAAAGUUGUCCUCCAUAUCACAGAGCAGGUUUAUAAUGAGCUUGUCAAGUACCUCAGUGAUUUCCUGGUAGUUACAGGAUUGAAACAGCAGAUUUUAAGAGGGCAGGAUUAUCAGUUCCUAAAUAUGGAAAUAGAUUCUGCCAACAUGGGUGGUUCUCCUAAACAUUUUCGUCGGUCAAAGGUGAAACGCUGUGAUCAAGAGUCGUCCCCGGGGGACGCCUUAACUCCGAAGAAAAGAAAAACUCGUUUAGCAGGU